CCUGGUGGUGGCAGGCGACUAGAUCCUCGCCAAACUUGGCCUCUCACGAUAAACCCUGGCACAACAGGAGGUCGCAUAUGGGGUCGAACCAAUUGCCGCUUUGAUGGAGCUGGCCGUGGCCAAUGCCAAACUGGCGAUUGCGGGGGUCUACUCCAAUGCACAGCCUAUGGUGCACCCCCCAACACCAUUGCCGAGUUUGCCUUAAGCCAGUUCAAUAGCCUGGAUUUCUUUGACG
This 235-nucleotide unclassified non-coding RNA is filed under the name Hevea brasiliensis (rubber tree). Lineage: Eukaryota; Viridiplantae; Streptophyta; Magnoliopsida; Malpighiales; Euphorbiaceae. The record is from RNAcentral.